RNAcentral lists this long non-coding RNA (658 nucleotides) under Homo sapiens (human). RNAcentral describes it as "HSALNT0398394". Lineage: Eukaryota; Metazoa; Chordata; Mammalia; Primates; Hominidae. The record is from RNAcentral.
GUCCGGCCAGAGGUAGACGGCCCGCGGGGCCAAUCGGAGUGCAGGCAGGGCAGCAGGCCCCGCCUCCGAAACAACAGAAAGCACUUGACAGGCUUGCUCUCCAAUGAGAAGCCCCGGAAAAGUGUCGCGCGGAGGCGGAGCCACGCGGUACAGCCACCUCUGCGCCUGCUCAAAGGCCCUGGACACUUGGAGUCUAGGUCAGGCCAGAAAUGUUGCUUCUGAAGUCCUGAGUCCACCUCCUAGCACUGCCAAGCAGUCCACCUGGAGGUGAUGAGAACUUCCAGGCUUUGGUAAUGGACAACUCUGUAUCCCUGGAGCCUUCAUUCCUUUUGGCAUUACAGAACCACAAGAAGUCAUCUAGAAUCAUUGAGAUUCUCAACUCCAUUGGGCAAACUGGAACCAGCAAAAUCUCAGAUAUCUAGAAUUGCCACUGCUUCCUUGACUCUGUGAUCAGUCUACAGCCACAGAAUCCUGAUUCCCUUUGGACAUUCUAGAAUGGCACUUUAAAAAAAAACAACCCACCCAGUGGAUCCUUUCAAAGCACUGCUUAUUCUCUUGGCUGGGUGCUCUACAGCCAGAAGUUGGAGUUAUCUAAUAUCAAGAACUCUUAAUCUGUCACUUCAGUCUUUCUAAACCCACAGACUAACAAUGUUUUGUG